This 77-nucleotide transfer RNA is filed under the name Candidatus Fischerbacteria bacterium RBG_13_37_8. RNAcentral's name for it is "tRNA-Pro". It matches the Rfam family "tRNA". From Rfam's summary of the family: Transfer RNA (tRNA) molecules are approximately 80 nucleotides in length. Their secondary structure includes four short double-helical elements and three loops (D, anti-codon, and T loops). The record is from RNAcentral. Lineage: Bacteria; Candidatus Fischeribacteriota.
CGGGACGUGGCGCAGAUGGGUAGCGCACUGGACUGGGGGUCCAGUGGUCGGAGGUUCAAAUCCUCUCGUCCCGACCA